GGGGGUGUAGCUCAAUUGGUGGAGCGCAUGCUUUGCAAGCAUGAGGUCGUCGGUUCGAUUCCGUCCACCUCCA
RNAcentral lists this transfer RNA (73 nucleotides) under Holosporales bacterium. Its description in RNAcentral is "tRNA-Ala". It matches the Rfam family "tRNA". From Rfam's summary of the family: Transfer RNA (tRNA) molecules are approximately 80 nucleotides in length. Their secondary structure includes four short double-helical elements and three loops (D, anti-codon, and T loops). Further hydrogen bonds mediate the characteristic L-shaped molecular structure. tRNAs have two regions of fundamental functional importance: the anti-codon, which is responsible for specific mRNA codon recognition, and the 3' end, to which the tRNAs corresponding amino acid is attached (by aminoacyl-tRNA synthetases). tRNAs cope with the degeneracy of the genetic code in two manners: having more than one tRNA (with a specific anti-codon) for a particular amino acid; and 'wobble' base-pairing, i.e. permitting non-standard base-pairing at the 3rd anti-codon position. Lineage: Bacteria; Pseudomonadati; Pseudomonadota; Alphaproteobacteria; Holosporales. The record is from RNAcentral.